RNAcentral lists this transfer RNA (76 nucleotides) under Acidilobales archaeon. RNAcentral describes it as "tRNA-Pro". The record is from RNAcentral. Lineage: Archaea; Thermoproteati; Thermoproteota; Thermoprotei; Acidilobales.
AGCCGGGUCGUCUAGCGGCCAAGGAUGCGGGGCAGGGGCCCCCGUGACCGGGGUUCGAAUCCCCGCCCGGCUACCA